GACGAACGCUGGCGGCGUGCCUAAUACAUGCAAGUCGAACGCUGAAGAGAGGAGCUUACUCUUCUUGGGUGAGUUGCGAACGGGUGAGUAACGCGUAGGUAACCUGCCUUGUAGCGGGGGAUAACUAUUGGAAACGAUAGCUAAUACCGCAUAACAAUGGAUGACACAUGUCAUUUAUUUGAAAGGGGCAAUUGCUCCACUACAAGAUGGACCUGCGUUGUAUUAGCUAGUAGGUGAGGUAAUGGCUCACCUAGGCGACGAUACAUAGCCGACCUGAGAGGGUGAUCGGCCACACUGGGACUGAGACACGGCCCAGACUCCUACGGGAGGCAGCAGGAGGGAAUCUUCGGCAAUGGGGGCAACCCUGACCGAGCAACGCCGCGUGAGGGAAGAAGGGUUUCGGAUCGGAAAGCUCUGUUGUAAGUCAAGAACGGGUGUGAGAGUGGAAAGUUCACACUGUGACGGUAGCUUACCAGAAAGGGACGGCUAACUACGUG
This 497-nucleotide ribosomal RNA is filed under the name uncultured bacterium. RNAcentral describes it as "partial 16S ribosomal RNA". It matches the Rfam family "Bacterial small subunit ribosomal RNA", at positions 28 to 507 of the family's 1533-position model. The record is from RNAcentral.